Molecule: ribosomal RNA, 512 nt
Filed under: uncultured bacterium
Lineage: Bacteria
Description: partial 16S ribosomal RNA
Rfam family: Bacterial small subunit ribosomal RNA
Source: RNAcentral
GACGAACGCUGGCGGCGUGCCUAAUACAUGCAAGUCGAGCGGAACUGGGGGAGCUUGCUCCUUCCAGUUUAGCGGCGGACGGGUGAGUAACACGUGGGCAACCUGCCCUGCAGAUCGGGAUAACUCCGGGAAACCGGUGCUAAUACCGAAUAGUUUGGCGCCUCUCCUGAGGCGCUACGGAAAGACGGUUUCGGCUGUCACUGCAGGAUGGGCCCGCGGCGCAUUAGCUAGUUGGGGGGGUAACGGCCCACCAAGGCGACGAUGCGUAGCCGACCUGAGAGGGUGACCGGCCACACUGGGACUGAGACACGGCCCAGACUCCUACGGGAGGCAGCAGUAGGGAAUCUUCCGCAAUGGACGCAAGUCUGACGGAGCAACGCCGCGUGAGUGACGAAGGUUUUCGGAUCGUAAAACUCUGUUGUGAGGGAAGAACACGUACCAACUAACUAUUGGUACCUUGACGGUACCUCACCAGAAAGCCACGGCUAACUACGUGCCAGCAGCAGCCGCGG